Molecule: long non-coding RNA, 691 nt
Filed under: Medicago truncatula (barrel medic)
Lineage: Eukaryota; Viridiplantae; Streptophyta; Magnoliopsida; Fabales; Fabaceae
Description: long non-coding RNA (MTRU_LNC001058)
Source: RNAcentral
UUUUCUUAUUUAUAUAUUUAUUAUUAUUGAGAAGUGUAAGAAACUCUCCCUAACACUCUUCUUCUAGUCCACUAUCUAUUGUUGUUUUCUGUACUAAAUAUUUAAGUUGUUCGAUCACUCAGAGUAGAGCGUCUUCAUUCUUUGUGUUGGAACAAGUAUUUUGGUCAAUAAGAUUGGACUUAAGGUUGAUUUACAUUUUUUUUUUACUUAAACAUUUUGCAUGUAUGACACAUUUUUAUGAUUGUAGAGUGUUUGCAGGCACACUUCCUCGUCUCUUGGAAGAAGAAAUCUUUGAUCGAAGUUCGACGACUCAAAGUCAUCAACACCUCCACAGGACGUAGAUCUUACUUCUUAGGUCCCAUGAGGGAUCAAAUGUGAAAUAUAAUCUUGCAAUUGUAAUAAUGUAUUUAUUUAACUUGUCCCUUAAGGUAUGCAAUCACACUGUCUGUGACACUGUUUGUGACCCUACACUUGUUGUUAUAUAUUCCGCUGAGUGGACCCUUUAAUUUGUUUUCGAUGGGCUAAAGUUGUGUCCCAAAGCUGGAAACCUUUAAAAUACUGGGUUCGCAUGUGUUGGUUGUUUGUGUACUAUUGAAUUACUUUUUUUUCUUUCUUUCAAAUCAUGGAAAUCAUUUUAAUGUGAGUGUGUUGUGUUGGCCGAAAUGGUCCUAUUUAUAUUUGUGAACUGAAU